This is a non-coding RNA of Lupinus angustifolius (narrow-leaved blue lupine), 227 nucleotides long. The record is from Rfam. Lineage: Eukaryota; Viridiplantae; Streptophyta; Magnoliopsida; Fabales; Fabaceae.
CCAAACGCUCCCAUUUUUUAAUAACACAAGUCUCCGCAAAGCCAUAAGACCAUGUAUGGGGGCUAACGCCUGCCCAGUGCCGGAAAGUCAAGGAAGUUAGUGACCUGAUGAUAGGGGAGCCGAUGACCGAAGCCCUGGUGAACGGCGACCGUAACUAUAACGGUCCUAAGGUAGCGAAAUUCCUUGUCAUAUAAGUUCUGACCCGCAUGAAAGGCGUAACGAUCUGG